Molecule: ribosomal RNA, 363 nt
Filed under: uncultured Levilinea sp.
Lineage: Bacteria; Bacillati; Chloroflexota; Anaerolineae; Anaerolineales; Anaerolineaceae
Description: bacterial SSU rRNA
Rfam family: Bacterial small subunit ribosomal RNA
Source: RNAcentral
GAGAGGGACCGACUCUUCGGAGAGCCUGCACAGGUGCUGCAUGGCUGUCGUCAGCUCGUGUCGUGAGACGUUCGGUUAAGUCCGCUAACGAGCGCAACCCUCGUCGUGUGUUACAAGUGUCACGCGAGACCGCCGGUGUCAAGCCGGAGGAAGGUGAGGAUGACGUCAAGUCAGCAUGGCCUUUAUAUCCUGGGCUACACACACGCUACAAUGGUUGGCACAAUUGGUUGCGAAGCCGCGAGGCGGAGCCAAUCCGUAAAGUCAGCCUCAGUUCAGAUUGUAGGCUGCAACUCGCCUGCAUGAAGAUGGAGUUGCUAGUAAACGCAGGUCAGCAUUACUGCGUUGAAUACGUUCCCGGGGAUU